This 301-nucleotide ribosomal RNA is filed under the name uncultured bacterium. Its description in RNAcentral is "partial 16S ribosomal RNA". It matches the Rfam family "Bacterial small subunit ribosomal RNA", at positions 509 to 807 of the family's 1533-position model. The record is from RNAcentral.
CAGUCGCCGCGGUAAAACGGAGGAUCCGAGCGUUAUCCGGAAUUAUUGGGUUUAAAGGGUGCGUAGGCGGAUAGAUAAGUCAGUGGUGAAAGACGGUGGCUCAACCAUCGCAGUGCCGUUGAUACUGUUUAUCUUGAAUAUGGAUGAGGUAGGCGGAAUGUGGCAAGUAGCGGUGAAAUGCAUAGAUAUGCCACAGAACACCGAUUGCGAAGGCAGCUUACCAAGGCAAAAUUGACGCUGAGGCACGAAAGCGUGGGGAUCGAACAGGAUUAGAGACCCCUGUAGUCCCUGUCUCUUAUAC